RNAcentral lists this transfer RNA (75 nucleotides) under bacterium. RNAcentral describes it as "tRNA-Gly". It matches the Rfam family "tRNA". From Rfam's summary of the family: Transfer RNA (tRNA) molecules are approximately 80 nucleotides in length. Their secondary structure includes four short double-helical elements and three loops (D, anti-codon, and T loops). RNAcentral also lists the same sequence under 2 other names. The record is from RNAcentral.
GCGGGAGUAAUUCAGUGGUAGAAUGUCUCCUUGCCAAGGAGAAUGUCGAGGGUUCGAGCCCCUUCUCCCGCUCCA